RNAcentral lists this ribosomal RNA (430 nucleotides) under uncultured bacterium. RNAcentral's name for it is "bacterial SSU rRNA". It matches the Rfam family "Bacterial small subunit ribosomal RNA", at positions 355 to 776 of the family's 1533-position model. The record is from RNAcentral.
UCGAGAAUCAUUCGCAAUGAGCGAAAGCUUGACGAUGCGACGCCGUGUGAGCGAUGAAGGCCUUCGGGUUGUAAAGCUCUUUCGCUUGGGAACAAGGAGACUCUACGAAUAAUGGGGAAUCUUGAGCGUACCAGGUAAAGAAGCACCGGCUAACUCCGUGCCAGCAGCUGCGGUAAUACGGAGGGUGCAAGCAUUAAUCGGAUUUAUUGGGCGUAAAGGGCGCGUAGGCGGAUAGGGAAGUCAGAUGUGAAAUUCCGAGGCUCAACCUCGGAGCUGCAUUUGAGACUCCCUGUCUAAGAGGAUAGACGGAGAAAAUGGAAUUCCACGUGUAGCGGUGAAAUGCGUAGAUAUGUGGAAGAACACCUGUGGCGAAAGCGGUUUUCUAGUUUAUACCUGACGCUGAGGCGCGAAAGCAAGGGGAGCAAACAGG